GAUGAACGCUGGCGGCGUGCCUAAUACAUGCAAGUCGAGCGAACAGACGAGGAGCUUGCUCCUCUGACGUUAGCGGCGGACGGGUGAGUAACACGUGGAUAACCUACCUAUAAGACUGGGAUAACUUCGGGAAACCGGAGCUAAUACCGGAUAAUAUAUUGAACCGCAUGGUUUAAUAGUGAAAGACGGUUUUGCUGUCACUUAUAGAUGGAUCCGCGCCGCAUUAGCUAGUUGGUAAGGUAACGGCUUACCAAGGCAACGAUGCGUAGCCGACCUGAGAGGGUGAUCGGACACACUGGAACUGAGACACGGUCCAGACUCCUAAGGGAGGCAGCAGUAGGGAAUCUUCCGCAAUGGGCGAAAGCCUGACGGAGCAACGCCGCGUGAGUGAUGAAGGUCUUCGGAUCGUAAAACUCUGUUAUUAGGGAAGAACAAAUGUGUAAGUAACUAUGCACGUCUUGACGGUACCUAAUCAGAAAGCCACGGCUAACUACGUG
Molecule: ribosomal RNA, 497 nt
Filed under: uncultured bacterium
Lineage: Bacteria
Description: partial 16S ribosomal RNA
Rfam family: Bacterial small subunit ribosomal RNA
Source: RNAcentral